ACGUACACUUUCUAGCGUUAUAAAGUACGUUAUUUUGUGUGGCCAUUACAGAGAGUCCCUAAACGCCUCACGGACUUUGCGGUGCCGCGAUUAGAGCAGAAACGCACGUGCCAGAGGUUUGCGACCGCAGAUAUGGAUCUGUACACUUUAUUAGGCCCCGUCUCCUGUUGCUGGGGAACUGCCCCAUCAUGAGCGUUUCUCACCGGGACACUGACCCCUGGUUGUUCCUGCAGGUCCACAGACACGCACAGGCCUGAGGGAAUGCCAGCGACACGGAGGAGAGGGACUGGAGACAGGCAGCCGGGGAAAUAAAGGAAAGAAACUUGGUCUAGAGGAAGACCCGAAUUCGCUGCUUCUGUGAUUCACACUUUAAACUUGUCUAAAACUCGCUGAGUGUCACGAGGCACAAAGGACGUCAGAUCAGAACCACACGAGGAAGAUGUGCCUUAGGUGCCGUGUGAAGUCGCCCCCUCCAAACCAAGGCUCAGAGCUGCUCUAAAUAAUUUAACUUCAGAUUUAAAAAAUAAGUUGGGGAAGCCUUUAAUAAAGUAUGUGGAAUUCACUGUAGGAACCUGUUUCAGCCAGUAAUUCAUGGAGCAAACAAAGAAUUAAAUCAUUGGUCACUCAUUCAUGCAUUAAUAUGUUUUAUUAGUUUAUAAUUGUAUAUCGCUUAACAAAAAAUGGCAACAUUCUCAGUUCACAUGUGUUUGGAUGCCUGCUGUGCAUCAAAUGGUUGAAUUAACUGUAUUGUUACAGCUCUGAUGUGAAAUUAAAUUACACAUUAGCCAAUG
Betta splendens (Siamese fighting fish) is the source of this 791-nucleotide long non-coding RNA. RefSeq lists it as uncharacterized. The transcript has 3 exons. Lineage: Eukaryota; Metazoa; Chordata; Actinopteri; Anabantiformes; Osphronemidae. The record is from RefSeq and is a predicted model, not a curated record.